RNAcentral lists this long non-coding RNA (1060 nucleotides) under Oryctolagus cuniculus (rabbit). RNAcentral's name for it is "lncRNA (ENSOCUG00000037200.1)". The record is from RNAcentral. Lineage: Eukaryota; Metazoa; Chordata; Mammalia; Lagomorpha; Leporidae.
AUGCCUCAUACUGGGUGCAUGGCAUCCUCCUUGGAGACCAUUUCAUGCCCUCAAUCAGAACAAGCUCCAGCAGAUGGAGAGAGAGAGAAACAAGGCAAGAAGGAACUUAACUCCUCGCUCCCUUCCCUCCAGCCAGGCUGCACUUCUGUCUUGCACUGUGCACAGAGGGAGCGAGAGCGAGGGAGAGGAGAGAGAGAGAAAGAGGAAAAAGAGAGCGAGCGAGCCAGGAGACGCGGAGGCGAGAAGCAUGAAGCGUUAACUCCCCCGUGCCAAGGCCCGCACCGCCCGGACAGCGCCCGCCGCGCCUGCAGCCCCGAGCGGCCGCCGCGCGCGCCCCGGCGAGCCGAGCCCUCCUUAUGCAAAGCGCGCAGCGGAGCGGCGAGCGGGGGACGCCGCGCACCGGGCCGGGCUCCUCCGGCUUCGCCGCCGCCGCCGCCGCAGCUCGCCGAGGACCUCCCCCAGCCUGAAGCCGCCGGCCCGGCGCGCACGGAGGCGAGCAGGCGAGGAGGGGCUGGGGCGAGCGAGCGAGCGAGCGAGUCCCUUGGCGUGAGCAGGCGGGGAGGGAGGGCGGGCGCGGGGGGCGCGGGCAGGGCGGGGGGGCGUGUGCGCGCUCGGAGGUUCCGGGCCAGCCGCCGGCGCGCGAGCUAGAAGCGCCCCAGCCCGGCAAGCUGGCUCACCCGCUCGCCGCCCAGCACAGCCCGCUGGCCCCUCUCCUGCAGCCCAUCUGGCGGAGCGGCGGCGGCGGCGGCGGCGGCAGGAGGAUGGCAACGGAACUGGCGAUGAGCAACUCCGACCUGCCCACCAGUCCCCUGGCCAUGGAAUAUGUUAAUGACUUCGAUCUGAUGAAGUUUGAAGUGAAAAAGGAGCCGGUGGAGACCGACCGCAUCAUACAGCCAGUGCGGCCGUCUCAUCGCCGGGGGGCUCGCUGUCCCUCCACCCCCAUGAGCACGCCGUGCAGCUCGGGUGCCGCCUUCCCCCAGCUUCUUCGGCGCCCUAGCCCGGGAUCGGGCUGCGAGCAGGAUGGCGCACCUGGGAGACUACUACUGGGAUGACCGGUUAC